CCUACGGGAGGCAGCAGUGGGGAAUAUUGGACAAUGGGCGCAAGCCUGAUCCAGCCAUGCCGCGUGAGUGAUGAAGGCCCUAGGGUUGUAAAGCUCUUUUGUGCGGGAAGAUAAUGACGGUACCGCAAGAAUAAGCCCCGGCUAACUUCGUGCCAGCAGCCGCGGUAAUACGAAGGGGGCUAGCGUUGCUCGGAAUCACUGGGCGUAAAGGGUGCGUAGGCGGGUCUUUAAGUCAGGGGUGAAAUCCUGGAGCUCAACUCCAGAACUGCCUUUGAUACUGAAGAUCUUGAGUUCGGGAGAGGUGAGUGGAACUGCGAGUGUAGAGGUGAAAUUCGUAGAUAUUCGCAAGAACACCAGUGGCGAAGGCGGCUCACUGGCCCGAUACUGACGCUGAGGCACGAAAGCGUGGGGAGCAAACAGGAUUAGAUACCCUUGUAGUC
This 440-nucleotide ribosomal RNA is filed under the name uncultured bacterium. RNAcentral's name for it is "bacterial SSU rRNA". It matches the Rfam family "Bacterial small subunit ribosomal RNA", at positions 338 to 795 of the family's 1533-position model. The record is from RNAcentral.